UGCCUAUCCAUUUUCCCUGAUAAUAUUGAGUCACAGAUUUAGAAAGAACAUAACUGUUUAAAAAUAAAAUAAUGGAAUUUAUUAAAACCUUAUACACCGACUCAUUCAUAAAAGCAAAACACAGCCUAUAUAACAACGUAUAGACAGAAAGGAAAUUUUUCUCCUGAGCCUCCCUGGCCCUUCACUCCUCUCCUUCCAUCUAAAUUUGCCUCCCCAUUACUCCCUGCUAACACACUGAAUCUUCAUGAAUAUAGUAAAUAUACUUCAGAAUGCAUCUCAAAAAAGUAAUUAGACUUGAAAAUAAGAUUAACUGAAAUAGUUACAAUCCAUUUCAAUGCUUGGCCAGUUUUCAAGAUUAUUACAUAGAAUAUGUUCCCAGAUAUCAAGAAAAACUACAAAAUAAUCUGGUUAAAGAUCAUAAAGCUACUUUGUGCACUGAUGUCUCAAAAACUAGACAAAGAAACAUAUCAAAAUACAGUUGUAAUAUUCAUCACAAUCAUGAAAUUCUUAGCAACUUUAAAACAGAAAAG
RNAcentral lists this unclassified non-coding RNA (530 nucleotides) under Hevea brasiliensis (rubber tree). Lineage: Eukaryota; Viridiplantae; Streptophyta; Magnoliopsida; Malpighiales; Euphorbiaceae. The record is from RNAcentral.